Molecule: long non-coding RNA, 1434 nt
Filed under: Piliocolobus tephrosceles (Ugandan red Colobus)
Lineage: Eukaryota; Metazoa; Chordata; Mammalia; Primates; Cercopithecidae
Description: lncRNA (ENSPTEG00000011113.1)
Source: RNAcentral
AUGAAUAAAAAUAACAUCGACACAUUAACAUGUUCGGAAAGGAAUGAUGAAUGUUUAUCACCAGGUGGACAUUUAGAUAUUAGUAAAACUUUAACAGAAACAACAGUCGGAAAACAGAACCAAACUGAUAUUUCCAACAAUGAUAAAAACAAACAUGAAACAGCUGUUGAUGAUUCUUAUGAAGAACUGAGAAAAAGAAGAAUAAAAAAAAGAAUGAAGCAAAAUAAUAUUUCUUUUAUAUCAUCCGAUAGUAGAGAUUUUUAUAUAAAUGCGAUGAAUAAAUCCAAUUUGUCCUUAAAAAACAAUUGUUUUAGCUUUUGUUGUAGGAAAAAAAAAAAUAGAAAAAUUGCAAAUCAGGAUACUACAUCUCUCGAUAAUAAGAAUAAAGAAACAAAUGAAAUAAAUAAAGAACUGAGUAACGACGUUAUAGGAAACAUGAAUAACAAAAACAGGCGAAUAAACAAUUACAAUACAGAUGUAAAUAAUAUAGACUGGUUAAUAUACACAAUUAGGUAUAUGGAUUACAGAAGAUUGAGAAGAACCUUUAAUGGUAUAAGAAAACCUUUAUCCAAAAAAAUUAUGUUCAUUAUAAGUAUUUUUUGCUUAUUAUUAUUAUCAAUGAGAUAUUUUAGAGCAAAGUAUUAUAACAACAAAUUAAUUAUUAGUCUUGAAUUACAAACUUCUUGGUUAUUUUUUUUUGAAGCUGCUUUGGUAAUUAUUGGUAUAGUUUUGUUUGCAAAAUUUCAGACACGUUUAAGUUUACAUUGGCCUAUAUAUGCAUCGUAUAUAUUUAUUAUCUGCGCAACAGCUUCAUUAUUUUUUUAUGAUAAAAAUAAAACUUAUAAGAAUAUGAAUGGAGAACAUAUUUUAAUGAUUUAUGGUAUUGUCCAAAUUUCUCUUAUAAUAUUCGUAACAAUUAUGAUAUAUAUUGGUCCACUUUUAGCUGUAUAUGGUUUAUUUUUCCCAUGUACAGAAAAUUGUAGAAUAUUAAAAAAAUAUAUUUCAACUAAUAAGUUAAAUAUAACUAUAAGUCGUUACAACGAUUUCGCUGGUUUAUGUGAAAAUAAUUUUUGUUGUUUAUGUUUAUUUGCAUAUAUAUCUGUUUAUAGAAUUAUUAAUUUUUUUUAUAAAAAAAUUAAGAAUAUACGUUUUAAAAUAAAAAAAGAUAAUAAUUUAUAUGAAGCACCUUUUAGUCAUCAAUUAAGAUACAAAGGAAAAACAGAUAUUUAUGGUAGACCACAUGGAUAUGGAGAAUGGAUUGAAGAUCAUUCUUAUGGUGAAAAACUAAAAGGUUUUUGGUUUCAUGGUUAUCCAGUAGGUCCUUUUAUAUCUCAAGAAGUUGGUAGUGGUUCUUUAUUUGUAAAUACAAGAGUAGGUUUUGCUGCAUGUGUAGGUAAAGAUUGGGGAGAUGUAAAAUAUGGUGUUACAUGUACU